AACGUAGGAGACGAGCGUUAUCCGGAUUUACUGGGCGUAAAGAGCGUGUAGGAGGCGGUACAAGUUGGAUGUGAAAGCUCCCGGCUUAACUGGGAGAGGUCGUUCAAGACUGUGCAGCUAGAGGGAAGCAGAGGUAGACGGAACUCCGGGAGUAGUGGUGAAAUGCGUAGAUAUCCGGAAGAACACCAGAGGCGAAAGCGGUCUACUGGGCUUAACCUGACACUGAGACGCGAAAGCCAGGGUAGCAAACGGG
Molecule: ribosomal RNA, 253 nt
Filed under: uncultured bacterium
Lineage: Bacteria
Description: partial 16S ribosomal RNA
Rfam family: Bacterial small subunit ribosomal RNA
Source: RNAcentral